Molecule: long non-coding RNA, 1865 nt
Organism: Harpegnathos saltator (Jerdon's jumping ant)
Lineage: Eukaryota; Metazoa; Arthropoda; Insecta; Hymenoptera; Formicidae
Exons: 3
Source: RefSeq, a predicted model, not a curated record
GGCAGCCGCGCGCUGCUGCCGACACGCCGUUACGUUAUUCGGCAGCGACCUCGCCGCGGUCCGGCAGUUGCGCGCGCUGGAGUGUGCGACGUGUGAUUCGAAUUCGAUACACCGAGUGUGUUAUGUCUUGUAUCCAACGGAUGCGCCGAGGAACGCGCUCGACUCCGGCGUCCAAGAAACUGGUUCAUCCGGGGACAUCGACUCGCGAGAGAGAAUCCAUCGGAACGUGCUUAAUUAAAUAUCGUAUGUAACCAUCCGGGUCGGAUCUUUUCAGCCGGAGGAGGACGCGACCCCGGGAGUCUUCGACCGACCGAUAUUCCUUCGGUGCCAAGAAAGUAUCCCGCAGCCGACGCAACGUUCCGAAUAAUCGAACGUCUAAUACGUUCCUAUUUGAUGACAGCGAGGGAGCAUAAACGAAAAGGAGUCAGCAAGAGAGAAAGAGAAGGAGAAAGGGUAAAUGUUAAUAUUAGUGUCGACUUCAUCGAUUUCAAUAAUCUCAACAUGUAUCAUCAAGGACAUGGUUUGACCACCUUGCAAAAAGCUUCAGCCAUCACUUAUUGUUUAUUAAAAAGUUAUCAACAAGAGAAGUUUUAUAAUUGGAACUUAUUUUUCCGACACAAUGUACGUAUAAAAAUGUUAAACAUAUAAGGCAGAGAAGGAGAGAAAGAGAAAGCGAGAGACACACGAAUACGCGCAAAGGUAGCCGCGCCCUUUAAAGAGAAUAUAACUACGGCGAAUGUGGCCAUUAUCUCACAACCAUGUAAAAGUACUCCAGGGAAACCGCCGUGGUGCUGCGCGCAUCGCCGUGUAGUGUCCCACACGACUACUCACCUCGAAUCGUUUCGCACCGCGCGGAGAAUAGUCCCCGGUAUAAAUUCCCUCCAUAUUUCCCCGCUUUCAUUGCCGCCUGCAUCGCACGAAUCUGUUCCACUUUUCGCGCGCGCGCUUUUCGUUCUCAACACUUUCCCAGGCAUUAAAGCGUGAAGAGAGCGCCGCGAGACGGCGACAGAGGGUGAGGCCCCGAGCGUUCCCCUGCUCCCCCUUCUUCGCCCCUCGAUUUAUAUCGGCCAUGCCGCAGCGACGUGAGCAAUAAUAGGAACUUUAGACCGGCUCUACGGCGCGAACGUGGUCGCGCUUGUAUCCACGGGCGUUGCUCCUCGCAAUUGCAUUUCGUUUUGCGCGCCAGGUAGGUAGGUAGGUAGGUAGAUAGCCGCACUCGUUGUUACACACGCCGCAGAUAGGUAGUUUACUCGGCUACUUGUCUUAUUGCCACUUCAACUCGCGUAUCCGCGCUAUGGCGGGGAUAUUUGUUUAAUGUCCGGCACGGUAGACUGCUUCGUGCGUCUUGUAACCGCGCUUUAACAACGACCAAAGCCCCGGCUCUCCGUCCGCAGCGAGGAAAUCCGUGCUACCACGGUGUUUCGUUAAUCCGCGGGACGAUGCCUGAAAUUUCGCGCAGGGCGAGGACGCCGCGGGUCGUUCGCGGCUCUAUAGAGUCGAUUUAUCUUGAUAAAGAAGUCAGAAGUUCCGGUUACAAGUGGGAAGGAACAGCCCGCUACAUCACUUGCUUCUGUUCGUUCACGUAACAAGUUCUUGGCACAUCGAAGGAAGGGAAAAACGCAGGAGAUCUUCCCGACUCGACGUCAUGCGAGAUAAAACUAGGCAGAUCGGUGUGCGAAAUUAGGUUGCCAGCUUAUUUUUCUGGCAAGCGCCGCAGCGCACAUUGCCGAGUGCCCGAGAUACUUUUUUUUAUGGGAAAAUGUAGAUUGAUUGAUUCAGCGAGUUGUAGGCGGAUCAAUUUUCAUCAUCGUCAGAACGUAGGACAGUCGACGACGGCAAACUUAUAAUUUUUCAAUUAUACUGAA